UGGGGAAUAUUGGACAAUGGGGGGAACCCUGAUCCAGCCAUGCCGCGUGUGUGAAGAAGGCCUUAUGGUUGUAAAGCACUUUAAGCGAGGAGGAGGGUACUGGUAUUAAUACUACCAGGUACUGGACGUUACUCGCAGAAUAAGCACCGGCUAACUCUGUGCCAGCAGCCGCGGUAAUACAGAGGGUGCGAGCGUUAAUCGGAUUUACUGGGCGUAAAGCGUGCGUAGGCGGCUAAUUGAGUCGGAUGUGAAAUCCCCGAGCUUAACUUGGGACUUGCAUUCGAUACUGGUUAGCUAGAGUGUGGGAGAGGAUGGUAGAAUUCCAGGUGUAGCGGUGAAAUGCGUAGAGAUCUGGAGGAAUACCGAUGGCGAAGGCAGCCAUCUGGCCUAACACUGACGCUGAGGUACGAAAGCAUGGGGAGCAAACAGG
Molecule: ribosomal RNA, 430 nt
Filed under: Pseudomonadota bacterium
Lineage: Bacteria; Pseudomonadati; Pseudomonadota
Description: Proteobacteria bacterium partial 16S ribosomal RNA
Rfam family: Bacterial small subunit ribosomal RNA
Source: RNAcentral